GCGUGAGUGAUGAAGGCCUUAGGGUUGUAAAGCCCUUUCGGCGGGGACGAUGAUGACGGUACCCGCAGAAGAAGCCCCGGCUAACUUCGUGCCAGCAGCCGCGGUAAUACGAAGGGGGCUAGCGUUGUUCGGAAUUACUGGGCGUAAAGGGCGCGUAGGCUGUGCUGUAAGUCAGGCGUGAAAGGCCCGGGCUCAACCUGGGAAUGGCGCAUGAUACUGCGGCGCUGGAAGGCGGGAGAGGAUGGCGGAAUUCCCAGUGUAGAGGUGAAAUUCGU
This 275-nucleotide ribosomal RNA is filed under the name uncultured bacterium. RNAcentral describes it as "partial 16S ribosomal RNA". It matches the Rfam family "Bacterial small subunit ribosomal RNA", at positions 399 to 691 of the family's 1533-position model. The record is from RNAcentral.